GCAACUGCACGUAGUUCUUAUGAGAACUUAUUAAAAUUAUGUUUUCUCGACUGUCGCAAGCGAGCUUCGAUGAAAUCUUUGUCUUCCUAUUCUAGGGUCCACUAAUACCAGCGGCGUUCACUAAUGGCUACCAUUGAGCCUUGUUAAGACCUAAUAACAGGAUGGACGAAAGGGCAGAACGCAGCACGGUCGACUGACGGUACAAUGAGCGAUGUGAAUGCCUUGGCAAGACCAACCAGGAUCUCUGGACGCUGGAAUGGGGACGCUUAUUUAACAUCACACGAGCAAUAUACGGGGGAGAAUCGCGAUUUAGAAGGAUAACGGUUUCCAACUAGCGAGGAGGCUUCGAGCUCUAGCGAAAGCGCGGUCGGUCGAACAAAAACCAGAAGAGUAAAAUAAAUAACUGACCGCGAUUUUCUAGCGGGGAACAAAAUAGCAAAAGAACACCAAAUGCAUUUGGAAAAUAAAGAUAGAAGCAAACUUUUAAGUUAGAAGGGACGAACGAAGAGGAGGUGGGUGGGAGCGGGGGUGGCUAAAGGGGAACAGUAAUGCGAGAGGAAGAAUUGUAGAAAAAAUUGUAAAUCGCGAUACACGUCCAAAUAGUUUGCGAGAGGCGCGAGAAUAGAAGAUGCAUAAGCUGAAAGUAAGAAAAACGCGAAAAGGGCAGAAGCUGCGUGAAAAGUUAGGCGUGACCGAAACUGCGUAUUUAAUGCCCGUUCUCCGACAUUAAUAAAGAAUAAUAUAAUAAUAAUAA
Long non-coding RNA from Ceratina calcarata, 754 nucleotides. RefSeq lists it as uncharacterized. The transcript is spliced from 2 exons. Lineage: Eukaryota; Metazoa; Arthropoda; Insecta; Hymenoptera; Apidae. The record is from RefSeq and is a predicted model, not a curated record.